This 69-nucleotide transfer RNA is filed under the name Otolemur crassicaudatus (thick-tailed bush baby). RNAcentral describes it as "tRNA-His". It matches the Rfam family "tRNA". From Rfam's summary of the family: Transfer RNA (tRNA) molecules are approximately 80 nucleotides in length. Their secondary structure includes four short double-helical elements and three loops (D, anti-codon, and T loops). Further hydrogen bonds mediate the characteristic L-shaped molecular structure. tRNAs have two regions of fundamental functional importance: the anti-codon, which is responsible for specific mRNA codon recognition, and the 3' end, to which the tRNAs corresponding amino acid is attached (by aminoacyl-tRNA synthetases). tRNAs cope with the degeneracy of the genetic code in two manners: having more than one tRNA (with a specific anti-codon) for a particular amino acid; and 'wobble' base-pairing, i.e. permitting non-standard base-pairing at the 3rd anti-codon position. Lineage: Eukaryota; Metazoa; Chordata; Mammalia; Primates; Galagidae. The record is from RNAcentral.
GUAAAUAUAGUUUAACAAAAACACUAGAUUGUGAAUCUAAUAACAGAAGACAUAACCUUCUUAUUUACC